This 79-nucleotide transfer RNA is filed under the name Aureobasidium subglaciale EXF-2481. It matches the Rfam family "tRNA". Rfam says of the family: Transfer RNA (tRNA) molecules are approximately 80 nucleotides in length. Their secondary structure includes four short double-helical elements and three loops (D, anti-codon, and T loops). The record is from Rfam by way of RNAcentral. Lineage: Eukaryota; Fungi; Ascomycota; Dothideomycetes; Dothideales; Saccotheciaceae.
GGAGAUAUGGCCGAGUGGUUAUGGCGCUAGUUUCAGGUACUAGUGGGCAACUGCGUGGGUUCGAAUCCCACUAUCUUCA